This 87-nucleotide transfer RNA is filed under the name Ephemerocybe angulata. RNAcentral describes it as "Coprinellus angulatus tRNA-Pro". It matches the Rfam family "tRNA". Rfam says of the family: Transfer RNA (tRNA) molecules are approximately 80 nucleotides in length. The record is from RNAcentral. Lineage: Eukaryota; Fungi; Basidiomycota; Agaricomycetes; Agaricales; Psathyrellaceae.
GGCCUGAUGGUCUAGUAGUAUGAUUCCUUGUUAGGGUGCUUAGUCAUCAAUUCGAGGAGGUCCCGGGUUCAAUUCCCGGUCAGGCCC